GUGCUUUGGAGAUCGAAGUGAGUGCUCGAGUGGUUCCUGCUCUGAGACUCCCUUUCUUUUUCAGGCAGGGUGAAAGAACACAACACCGCAACAGCAGAAGUCACAAAGAGCUGCGUUUACCAACAGAGAAGCUCCACAGGUCACAAGUCGCAGCAUGGGGAACGUUCACAAAGGACAGACGUGUAAAUACUCUGAGUACAUCUGCCUGGAAAGACCCGGAAGAGCCCCCCAGCACGGAGGCUUGGGGAAUCUUGUAUCUCUUCUUUGAGGAAGAGACAGAGACGUGGCCUGAUGAAGGAGCCCUUUGCUGACCGUCUGACUCAGCUUCACUACGAGAGACUGAAGCAGUGGUGAUGAGGAGACCCCAUCGACGUCAGGACGAAGCUAAGGAGAGCCGGACACCCAUCCAGCUGAUCAACGAGCAGGUCAUGGGGGACAGCAGCAAAACAUGCGAGUUUCCCAGCAGAGAUUUUUCUUUCUCUGAGACCAGCACCAUCAUCGCCACUAGAUCUGAUGGAGUCCGGACUAACUUCUUCAACUUCAGAAAGGAGAAAAGAAUCGUCAUACCCACACCUGUCCAUGUCAUAUAA
Molecule: long non-coding RNA, 590 nt
Filed under: Oryzias javanicus (javanese ricefish)
Lineage: Eukaryota; Metazoa; Chordata; Actinopteri; Beloniformes; Adrianichthyidae
Description: lncRNA (ENSOJAG00000019937.1)
Source: RNAcentral